UCAAACUUGAGUGGCUACUUACAUAGUUAUGAUCAUAGAUAGGUUUUGGCGGCCAUUUUGGCGUCCAUCUUGGUGGCCAUCUUGGAAAAACUACUUUCCGGAAAUUCGAUUUUGGUAAACUUUUGAUAUGUUAUAAAGUACAUCUUACUCUACCGGGAUCAGUUUGCAUACCUUUUGUAGCAUUUUUUGGGGGGUGGGGGUCAAAGUGUAUAUUGUCCCUGCUAUCCGUAAUGUUGGGCGCUUCGCAAGCAGGCAAUCAGUACCCCUCGAUUCAGUUAGCUGCUGGGUAGGCAAUCGGACUGUCAAAACUAGCCCCAUGUGAGACUCAAAAUAUGACAACAUGCUGAGCGUUUCAAGUAUGAUCAACAUCUAUCAUCAUACGGACUAUUUGUUAACGUCUUUGUACUCAUCAACGGUUAAGCAUAAAAUAACUAUAGAAGUAUUCGAAACUUAAAACUUUAAAACAGAUUAAUUUAGAUGCGUCUUGAAAACGUCCUGUCCCAGUUAACACUCAAGUGGUCUGCUUAUCAUGUUCAAACAAUCGACUAGCCUGGCGAGCAGAUACGCGUUACUUUGUAAACUACAUACACAGACCAAAAGAAGGAAUGUAAUUACAUGUAGUGCAAUCAUGUUCCUUGUCUAUUUUAUUGAUAAUUUAGUUGUUUGCUGCCACAAACAUCUUCAUAAAAUAAAGCAUUAAUGAAAGAAAAGUGUGAUAAAUAGAAUAUAUAAGGAUGUAUCUCAAUGUUAAUUAUUUGGUUUCUUUAUUCACUUGUUAACAUUAAAUAAAUAGAUAACUCCACUGCUCGCUAUUAUGCUCAAUGAUUACAAGUCUUGAUCAUAUAGCGUUCAAACACAGACAACUUGUCUAGACAAAUAGUGUGCUCCCAUGCAAUGGCAGUAACUUUCACCUUGCUACGGUAUAGACAUGAUAUGAGCCAUACAUUUGUUUUAUUCAAAAUACCACAGUUCUCUCCGUGAUCACAGUGAGAACACUGUGAGGUGUUUGCUCGACUAAUAGACUGUAUUGAGAGAUCAGUGUGAGGUGUUUUUAACUAGACUGAAGGGGCGAUCACUAUGGGAUGUUUAUACAAGACUGGAGGGGACUCACUGUGAUGUUUUUGUUCAAUAUACCACUUGAAAAGGGAGAUCAUUAUGAGGCGUUUGGUUGAAUGCUAAACUGCAGGGAAGAUCACUAUACGAUGUUUGAUUUAAAUCUACACGGCUAGGUGCAUCACGUCGAGGUGCGUGUUUCAGAAACGAAGAUCACUGUCCUGGGAGAGACCCUUGUGGGUCAUGCCACAGGCCAAUACCGUGGAAUGGUAGAGCUAUCUACUGUGAUGCGUGCUAUACAUGGAACCAUAUCUCAUGUGAAGGGAUCAGCCCAAAAGACUAUAUAAAGCUUGGUAAAUCUGACGAUGCGCGGACCUGCCACUCUUGUUCGCACUUUCAUUUUUCAAAUUCUUAUUUUGAAGAUUCAUUCCACUCAGAACUACUUGAUGACUCGAACCUUUCAACAACGGAUACUCCCAGUAUAUUUGACACUCUCGUUCAGCUACGUAAAAAACAGCCAAAUCGUUUUCUUUGUGCAUCUCUAAACAUUAACAGUGUUCGAAAUAAGUUUAAAUACAUCAAAGAACUAUUAACAAAAAAAUAUUGUUGACCUUUUGUUUUUAUCAGAGACCAAGAUAGAUGAUUCCUUUCCAAAUGCACAGUUUGCGGUGGAUAACUAUCACUUGUGGAGAGCGGACAGGACAGCCAGUGGUGGAGGAGUAAUGGCCUACUUGCGGUCAGAUAUUGCUGGGGAUGUGAUAUGGAAAUUAAAGACAUUGAAUCAAUUUCUGUAGUAGUAAAUUUAAAUGGGUCGAAAUGGAUAAUAUAUGGAGCAUAUAAACCACCGUCUUGAUCUGAUACAACAUUUCAAACGAUUUUAAUAUGACUAUUGAUAAAAUACUGUCUAAAACUGAUAAUUGUAUGGUAAUAGGUGAUUUAAAUUUUGAUAUGUUACAGGCCGAGAAAUUUUCAACUCAUGUGAUAUUUUUGAUCUCACAAAUAUUAUAAAGAACCCUACUUAUUUUACAAAAAAUGCUAAACCAACACUUUUAGAUCUUAUUUUAACCAAAAGUCGUUCUUUUAUUUGUGGAACAUGUAAUUUUAAUUAAGAAUUCAAACUAGAAUAAAAGGUGAUCAUGCAGAAUGCUUUAAAUGAACGUUACCAUCUCUUUUGUCAUGAUUUAGGUAUUUAAGAUUAGAUAAUUUUACUUUGCAUGUAAAUGCUCUUUAUCCGCUGCUAUAAUGCGAAGCUAUUUAAAGGAAUGUUAUUAAAAUAUACCUUCUGUGUA
This is a long non-coding RNA of Dreissena polymorpha, 2342 nucleotides long. RefSeq lists it as uncharacterized. NCBI's taxonomy places the organism in Eukaryota, Metazoa, Mollusca, Bivalvia, Myida, Dreissenidae. The transcript is spliced from 2 exons. The record is from RefSeq and is a predicted model, not a curated record.